UCUCCCCUCAGACUCUUUAUAAGUCUCAGUCUGUCUUCUUCUUUCACUUAAACAGGUUCGUCUCACAGUGUCACCAUAAACAAGAUUAAAGUCACAAACUGACAACAUGCUGUGGAUUCUCUGUACUGUCAUCUCUGCUCUAACAUAUGCUGAUGCAGCUAAAGUUUUGACCCAGACUCCUGCUGUUCACUCAGUUUCUACAGGACAACAGGUUGUUCUCAGCUGCAACGUUCAGAUAGAUCAUGGCAAUUAUGUCAGUUGGUACAAACAGGUGCCUGGUGGGACUCCUCAGUACAUUCUGAGGCUUCAUCCUUCUCACAGUUCCCCUGAUAAUUUCGGAGCAGGUUUCUCUUCUGACAGAUUUAACUCUAAAGCCACAUCAAGAAUUGACUUCCAGUUUAUUAUAAAGCAGGCAGAAACAGGAGACUCAGCAGUGUAUUACUGUAGCACAUGGGAUGACUCUGCUAGUGAAGCUGUACCACAGUGA
This is a non-coding RNA of Poecilia latipinna (sailfin molly), 487 nucleotides long. The record is from the annotation of a RefSeq genome assembly. Lineage: Eukaryota; Metazoa; Chordata; Actinopteri; Cyprinodontiformes; Poeciliidae.